Molecule: ribosomal RNA, 441 nt
Filed under: uncultured bacterium
Lineage: Bacteria
Description: partial 16S ribosomal RNA
Rfam family: Bacterial small subunit ribosomal RNA
Source: RNAcentral
CCUACGGGCGGCAGCAGUGGGGAAUAUUGCACAAUGGGGGAAACCCUGAUGCAGCAACGCCGCGUGAAGGAAGACGGUUCUCGGAUUGUUAACCUCUGUUCUUAGUGAAGAAUAAUGACGGUAGCUAAGGAGCAAGCCACGGCUAACUACGUGCCAGCAGCCGCGGUUAUACGGAGGUGGCAAGCGUUGUCCGGAAUUACUGGGUGUAAAGGGAGCGCAGGCGGGAAGCCAAGUCAGCUGUGAAAACUACGGGCUUAAAUUGUAGACUGCAGUUGAAACUGGUUUUCUUGAGUGGAGUAGAGGUAGGCGGAAUGCGGGGUGUAGCGGUGAAAUGCGUAGAUAUUCGGAGGAACACCGAUGGCGAAGGCAGCCAACUGGGCUUUAACUGACGCUGAGGCACGAAAGUGUGGGGAGCGAACAGGAUUAGAUACCCUGGUAGUC